GAUGAACGCUGGCGGCGUGCCUAAUACAUGCAAGUCGAGCGAACAGACGAGGAGCUUGCUCCUCUGACGUUAGCGGCGGACGGGUGAGUAACACGUAGAUAACCUACCUAUAAGACUGGGAUAACUUCGGGAAACCGGAGCUAAUACCGGAUAAUAUAUUGAACCGCAUGGUUCAAUAGUGAAAGACGGUUUUGCUGUCACUUAUAGAUGGAUCCGCGCCGCAUUAGCUAGUUGGUAAGGUAACGGCUUACCAAGGCGACGAUGCGUAGCCGACCUGAGAGGGUGAUCGGCCACACUGGAACUGAGACACGGUCCAGACUCCUACGGGAGGCAGCAGUAGGGAAUCUUCCGCAAAGGGCGAAAGCCUGACGGAGCAACGCCGCGUGAGUGAUGAAGGUCUUCGGAUCGUAAAACUCUGUUAUUAGGGAAGAACAAAUGUGUAAGUAACUAUGCACGUCUUGACGGUACCUAAUCAGAAAGCCACGGCUAACUACGUG
Molecule: ribosomal RNA, 497 nt
Filed under: uncultured bacterium
Lineage: Bacteria
Description: partial 16S ribosomal RNA
Rfam family: Bacterial small subunit ribosomal RNA
Source: RNAcentral